CCUGAUGGAGGGGGAUAACUACUGGAAACGGUAGCUAAUACCGCAUAACGUCGCAAGACCAAAGAGGGGGACCUUCGGGCCUCUUGCCAUCGGAUGUGCCCAGAUGGGAUUAGCUAGUAGGUGGGGUAACGGCUCACCUAGGCGACGAUCCCUAGCUGGUCUGAGAGGAUGACCAGCCACACUGGAACUGAGACACGGUCCAGACUCCUACGGGAGGCAGCAGUGGGGAAUAUUGCACAAUGGGCGCAAGCCUGAUGCAGCCAUGCCGCGUGUAUGAAGAAGGCCUUCGGGUUGUAAAGUACUUUCAGCGGGGAGGAA
RNAcentral lists this ribosomal RNA (318 nucleotides) under Escherichia coli. RNAcentral's name for it is "bacterial SSU rRNA". It matches the Rfam family "Bacterial small subunit ribosomal RNA", at positions 129 to 449 of the family's 1533-position model. The record is from RNAcentral. Lineage: Bacteria; Pseudomonadati; Pseudomonadota; Gammaproteobacteria; Enterobacterales; Enterobacteriaceae.